GCCAGUGUAGUUUAAUGGCAGAACGCAUGAAUGGUAAUCAUGAAAUUCAAGUUCGAUUCUUGGCUCUGGCACCA
This 74-nucleotide transfer RNA is filed under the name Thomasclavelia cocleata. RNAcentral describes it as "[Clostridium] cocleatum tRNA_Thr_GGT". It matches the Rfam family "tRNA". Rfam says of the family: Transfer RNA (tRNA) molecules are approximately 80 nucleotides in length. Their secondary structure includes four short double-helical elements and three loops (D, anti-codon, and T loops). The record is from RNAcentral. Lineage: Bacteria; Bacillati; Bacillota; Erysipelotrichia; Erysipelotrichales; Coprobacillaceae.